GACGAACGCUGGCGGCGUGCUUAACACACGCAAGUCGAACGGAAAGGCCCCUUUGGGGGUACUCGAGUGGCGCACGGGUGAGUAACACGUGAGUAACCUGCCCUUGACUUCGGGAUAACUUCAGGAAACUGGGGCUAAUACCGGAUAGGAAUCCUUGCUGCAUGGUGGGGGUUGGAAAGCUUCGGCGGUUUUGGAUGGACUCGCGGCUUAUCAGCUUGUUGGUGGGGUAGUGGCUUACCAAGGCUUUGACGGGUAGCCGGCCUGAGAGGGCGACCGGCCACAUUGGGACUGAGAUACGGCCCAGACUCCUACGGGAGGCAGCAGUGGGGAAUAUUGCACAAUGGGCGGAAGCCUGAUGCAGCAACGCCGCGUGCGGGAUGACGGCCUUCGGGUUGUAAACCGCUUUCAGCAGGGGCGAAGCUUGUGGUGACGGUACCUGCAGAAGAAGCACCGGCUAACUACGUG
RNAcentral lists this ribosomal RNA (465 nucleotides) under uncultured bacterium. RNAcentral's name for it is "partial 16S ribosomal RNA". It matches the Rfam family "Bacterial small subunit ribosomal RNA", at positions 28 to 507 of the family's 1533-position model. The record is from RNAcentral.